RNAcentral lists this ribosomal RNA (253 nucleotides) under uncultured bacterium. RNAcentral's name for it is "partial 16S ribosomal RNA". It matches the Rfam family "Bacterial small subunit ribosomal RNA", at positions 524 to 776 of the family's 1533-position model. The record is from RNAcentral.
UACGUAGGGUGCAAGCGUUGUCCGGAAUUAUUGGGCGUAAAGAGCUCGUAGGCGGUUUGUCGCGUCUGCUGUGAAAACGCGAGGCUCAACCUCGCGCCUGCAGUGGGUACGGGCAGACUAGAGUGCGGUAGGGGAGAUUGGAAUUCCUGGUGUAGCGGUGAAAUGCGCAGAUAUCAGGAGGAACACCGGUGGCGAAGGCGGGUCUCUGGGCAGCAACUGACGCUGAGGAGCGAAAGCGUGGGGAGCAAACAGG